Long non-coding RNA from Brassica oleracea var. oleracea, 1984 nucleotides. RefSeq lists it as uncharacterized. NCBI's taxonomy places the organism in Eukaryota, Viridiplantae, Streptophyta, Magnoliopsida, Brassicales, Brassicaceae. The record is from RefSeq and is a predicted model, not a curated record. The transcript has 6 exons.
CUAAAGCAAUAACCUCAAUGUAACAUCUCAACCGUGCAUUAAAUGAACCUUGCAUUAAACGUCUCAACCUUUGUUUUAGAUCAAAGCCAAUGAAUUGACGAAUCACUAUUCAACCUCCCUAAUUCCCCUCUCCCAGAUUAAAUAUAUAUGCGAUAUCGCCGUAUGAAUCCCUAAAGCUGCUCAAAUCAAACGCCCCUUCUCACGCGUGUAUCCAUCGAAGAAUUCUUCUGCAGUGACCUAGGGUGCAAGGUAACUUUUUCCUCUCACAAUGUUUAUGAUGAGUUUUUUUUGGUAAGAUUAAUGCGCUUACUGCUUCUUUUGGUGUGGAUUUUGACCGAACCUAAUUCAUUCAUUGUCUAAUUCUCAGGCUUUUUUUUAUUAACUCUAGACUAUAUCUAAUUUAUUGUCUGGCUAUACGAACCAAAGGACUUUGGUGACCAAUCAGCCGAUCACAAUUGGUCAUAUCAGUUUAUUUUUUUUUUGCUUUGUAGACAAUUAAGAGAAGGAGCAGAAAUGUGCUCACUUUUGUGUCUGCUUAUUAUGCAACUAAAAAUUAUUGCAAUACUUUCAUUACUUUCUUAUGGGAUGAUGAUAUGAAGCUUUUAUUUUAUUUUCACACUCUAGCUUCUGCUUUUUGAAACUUCUUCUUUUUGUUAUUGGCUUAGUGUUGUGCGCUUUUGUGAAACAUAGUUAGCUCAUGUUUUGGACGCUGUGUCACAAAAUCUUGCAACAUUAUGUUAUAAUUUCACUAUGUAUUUAUACUGUUGCGGUCAAAGGUCUCAGUUGUACUUUGUACCAUAAUAGUUUAACUUUUGAUUGUAUUGGAGUAUGCUUGCUUGAAGAAGUCAAGAAGAAAAAGAGUUUACAAGGAUUAAGGAUUUUAAAGGUGGCAAAGAGGAUAAGUGUCGCUCCAAGAGAUGACCAUGCCAACAGCCAUAUAAGUACAGAACCAGUCAGAGCUAGAGUUCUUGAACAGCAUGAUGAUCUUUUCAAACUUGGCCGUGCAUUGGCGUUUCUACUACCGCAUAUUAUUUUGAGAGCGCGAAUAAUUCCUGAGGCUGACAAGAAAGAAUGUCUGAAAAAGCGUAUGGAGUUUCAUAACACAACUACCAAGAGAAAAUGUUGAAGAUGUUGAGGUGAUAAACGAGGCGAAGGCAUACAAAGCAUUUUGAGAAAAUAGUGACCAAGGGGAAGGAGUUUCUGAAGCAUCAGAGGUUUCCUCUGUAUUAAUGGAGAAGGUUGCUGGUCUGAUACCAAUAUCUCGAGGAGGAUGACGAUGUGUCUAUCAAUAUUGGCAAAGGCUGGCUUCUUUUCACAGAUAACACAAGGAUUGACAUGGAAAGAAACACAUGAUGAAGUUGCAGCUGUCGCGAUGUACAUGAAAGACACACUUGCUGCUGAAGGACUUCAACAAAUAAUCAGCUGUCUCUCCAAAGAUAAAGAGGGAAGAAUUGUAGUGUAUGAUACUUUCGGGUUGUGAAGAAAAUGCAACAAAAUAAAAAUCAACAAGGAAAAAAAAAGAGUGCUCUGGUGUCUGCGCAGGAAGGUAAUGACAACCCCAUCGCUGAUAUGCCGGGAGCUGCAUCUGUAACAACAAAUACCUCUCAUGGUGUGUAGAUUGGUGUUCCUGUGACCAGCAUAAGGCUUGAUUGAUAGGCAUGGGGAUGGUUGAAGAAAACAGAGGCGAGGCAGCUCUGCCAGGUGCUCGACCUGUUGUUCCCGAAAUGACUGCGGAGUGCGGAGAAGCUAACAGUUCUGGAACAUGGGCUCUCUGACAUGCAUUCAGUAAAAUCUCAAGUAAUGGAGUCUAUGACCCUCAUGUCAACUCCCACAAACUACGCCAGAGCUUUUUUAAAUUUCGCGUAUUAAUGAAUUAUGACUCAAAACUCAUUACUACCGUCCGUCAUGUUAGUGUAUGUGUUUUGUUUUCAAAAUUUUGUAUCUAAUCAAGUAAGCUCUGUUUUUACAUGCGAACUUGGUGGAA